RNAcentral lists this ribosomal RNA (492 nucleotides) under uncultured bacterium. RNAcentral describes it as "partial 16S ribosomal RNA". It matches the Rfam family "Bacterial small subunit ribosomal RNA", at positions 29 to 507 of the family's 1533-position model. The record is from RNAcentral.
AGUGAACGCUGGCGGUAGGCCUAACACAUGCAAGUCGAACGGCAGCACAGUAAGAGCUUGCUCUUACGGGUGGCGAGUGGCGGACGGGUGAGGAAUACAUCGGAAUCUACUUUUUCGUGGGGGAUAACGUAGGGAAACUUACGCUAAUACCGCAUACGACCUACGGGUGAAAGCAGGGGAUCUUCGGACCUUGCGUGAUUGAAUGAGCUGAUGUCGGAUUAGCUAGUUGGCGGGGUAAAGGCCCACCAAGGCGACGAUCCGUAGCUGGUCUGAGAGGAUGAUGAGGCACACUGGAACUGAGACACGGUCCAGACUCCUACGGGCGGCAGCAGUGGGGAAUAUUGGACGAUGGGCGCAAGCCUGAUCCAGCCAUACCGCGUGGGUGAAGAAGGCCUUCGGGUUGUAAAGCCCUUUUGUUGGGAAAGACAAGCAGCAGGUUAAUACCCCGCUGUUCUGACGGUACCCAAAGAAUAAGCACCGGCUAACUUCGUG